This 234-nucleotide unclassified non-coding RNA is filed under the name Basidiomycota sp. RNAcentral's name for it is "partial contains small subunit ribosomal RNA, internal transcribed spacer 1, and 5.8S ribosomal RNA". The stretch from base 1 to 47 matches the Rfam family "Eukaryotic small subunit ribosomal RNA", at positions 1785 to 1831 of the family's 1831-position model. The record is from RNAcentral. Lineage: Eukaryota; Fungi; Basidiomycota.
AAAGUCGUAACAAGGUUUCCGUAGGUGAACCUGCGGAAGGAUCAAUACGAAUCAGAGAGUGGAUUGGGGGGGUUGAGAGUGGAGGAUGGUGCUUUGCACUUGCUUCCUCUUGCUCCCUCUUGCCCUCUACAUUGGCACAGGGGCCCCGAGCCCCUGAUGUUUACGCUUGAAUGUUUGACAGAACGAGAUGGUGACAAUCAGUGACAACUUUUAACAAUGGAUCUCUUGGCUCUU